AAGGCAGCAGGCACGCAAAUUACCCACUCCCGGCACGGGGAGGUAGUGACGAAAAAUAACGAUGCGAGACUCAUCCGAGGCCUCGCAAUCGGAAUGAGUACACUUUAAAUCCUUUAACGAGGACCUAUUGGAGGGCAAGUCUGGUGCCAGCAGCCGCGGUAAUUCCAGCUCCAAUAGCGUAUAUUAAAAUUGUUGCGGUUAAAAAGCUCGUAGUUGGAUUUCAGUUCUGGACUGACGGUUCACCGCCCGGUGCACACUGUCACGCUCCGAACAGCCACAACAGCCCGCUGGCUCGCACGGGGUGCUCUUCAUCGAGUGUCCCGCGUGGCCGGCAGAGUUUACUUUGAAAAAAUUAGAGUGCUCAAAGCAGGCUACACUGACGGCCUGAAUGCCUAUGCAUGGAAUAAUGGAAUAGGACCUCGGUUCUAUUUUGUCGGUUUUCUGAACCCGAGGUAAUGACUAAUAGGAACAGGCGGGGGCAUUCGUAUUGCGACGCUAGAGGUGAAAUUCUUGGACCGUCGCAAGACGAACUACUGCGAAAGCAUUUGCCAAGGAUGUUUUCAUUAAUCAAGGACGAAAGUUAGAGGUUCGAAGGCGAUCAGAUACCGCCCUAGUUCUAACCAUAAACGAUGCUGACCAGCGAUCCGCCGGUGUUAUUCCCAUGACCCGGCGGGCAGCUUCCGGGAAACCAAAGUCUUUGGGUUCCGGGGGAAGUAUGGUUGCAAAGCUGAAACUUAAAGGAAUUGACGGAAGGGCACCACCAGGAGUGGAGCCUGCGGCUUAAUUUGACUCAACACGGGGAACCUCACCAGGCCCAGACACCGGAAGGAUUGACAGAUUGAGAGCUCUUUCUCGAUUCGGUGGGUGGUGGUGCAUGGCCGUUCUUAGUUGGUGGAGCGAUUUGUCUGGUUAAUUCCGAUAACGAACGAGACUCUGGCCUACUAACUAGUCGACGGAUCUCCAGCAAUUGGUGUCCAGUUCGCAGCUUCUUCUUAGAGGGAUAAGCGGCAAUUCUAGCCGCACGAGAUUGAGCAAUAACAGGUCUGUGAUGCCCUUAGAUGUUCUGGGCCGCACGCGCGCUACACUGAAGGGAUCAACGUGUCCUCCCCCUCCGAGAGGAGCGGGUAACCCGUUGAAAUCCUUUCAUGAUAGGGAUUGGGGUUUGCAAUUGUCUCCCAUGAACGAGGAAUUCCCAGUAAGCGCAAGUCAUGAGCUUGCGUUGA
This 1223-nucleotide ribosomal RNA is filed under the name Charybdis hellerii. RNAcentral describes it as "SSU rRNA". It matches the Rfam family "Eukaryotic small subunit ribosomal RNA", at positions 422 to 1644 of the family's 1831-position model. Lineage: Eukaryota; Metazoa; Arthropoda; Malacostraca; Decapoda; Portunidae. The record is from RNAcentral.